GCUGCUCUCAGGAUUCUUAUGUAGAAAAAAAAAUGAAAAGAUUCUUAGCUCUCUGGCGGCUGUGAGCUGACAGUGGUGAUCCACGACUUCACCGCUUGCAACAGCAACGAGCUGACCAUCCGACGGGGCCAGACCGUGGAAGUUCUAGAGCGGCCGCAUGACAAGCCUGACUGGUGUCUGGUGCGGACCACUGACCGCUCCCCGGCGGCAGAAGGCCUGGUCCCCUGUGGCUCACUGUGCAUCGCCCACUCCAGAAGUAGCAUGGAAAUGGAGGGCAUCUUCAACCACAAAG
This 292-nucleotide small RNA is filed under the name Pongo abelii (Sumatran orangutan). Its description in RNAcentral is "processed transcript". Lineage: Eukaryota; Metazoa; Chordata; Mammalia; Primates; Hominidae. The record is from RNAcentral.